AAUAACCAAAUAUAACACUGGGACUAAGGGUCAAAUUGGUAAUUUUUCUUACAUCUCCCCCCCCCCCCGGGGCCAGGUAUCAUAUACACCGCCAAAAUAAAGAGCCUUGAGUACUAGAAGAAAAGGCACCUAGACCUAACAAAAUUAAGUGAAUACCCAAAAUUGUAGUCAUUUUAUUUCUAUCUUUCCA
RNAcentral lists this antisense RNA (190 nucleotides) under Triticum turgidum subsp. durum (durum wheat). Its description in RNAcentral is "Triticum durum (durum wheat) Antisense RNA which regulates isiA expression". It matches the Rfam family "Antisense RNA which regulates isiA expression". Lineage: Eukaryota; Viridiplantae; Streptophyta; Magnoliopsida; Poales; Poaceae. RNAcentral also lists the same sequence under 1 other name. The record is from Rfam by way of RNAcentral.